GUGGGGAAUAUUGGACAAUGGGCGAAAGCCUGAUCCAGCCAUGCCGCGUGUGUGAAGAAGGUCUUCGGAUUGUAAAGCACUUUAAGUUGGGAGGAAGGGCAGUAAGUUAAUACCUUGCUGUUUUGACGUUACCGACAGAAUAAGCACCGGCUAACUUCGUGCCAGCAGCCGCGGUAAUACGAAGGGUGCAAGCGUUAAUCGGAAUUACUGGGCGUAAAGCGCGCGUAGGUGGUUUUGUAAGUUGGAAGUGAAAUCCCCGGGCUCAACCUGGGAACUGCAUCCGAAACUGCAUGGCUAGAGUACGGUAGAGGGUAGUGGAAUUUCCUGUGUAGCGGUGAAAUGCGUAGAUAUAGGAAGGAACACCAGUGGCGAAGGCGACUACCUGGACUGAUACUGACACUGAGGUGCGAAAGCGUGGGGAGCAAACAGGAUUAGAACCCCUAGUAGUCC
RNAcentral lists this ribosomal RNA (450 nucleotides) under uncultured bacterium. Its description in RNAcentral is "partial 16S ribosomal RNA". It matches the Rfam family "Bacterial small subunit ribosomal RNA", at positions 354 to 796 of the family's 1533-position model. The record is from RNAcentral.